RNAcentral lists this ribosomal RNA (406 nucleotides) under uncultured bacterium. RNAcentral describes it as "partial 16S ribosomal RNA". It matches the Rfam family "Bacterial small subunit ribosomal RNA", at positions 30 to 526 of the family's 1533-position model. The record is from RNAcentral.
AUUGAACGCUGGCGGCAGGCCUAAUACCUGCAAGUCGCACGAGUGGCGGACGGGUGAGUAAUGUCUUGGCACCUGGCUGAUGGAGGGGUAUAACUACUGGAAACGGUAGCUAAUACCGCAUACCAUACUCUGUGCCCUGAUGGGAUUAGCUAGUGGGUGGGGUAACGGCUGAUCAAGGCGACGAUCCCUAGCUGGUCUGAGAGGCUGACCGUCCACACUGGGACUGAGACACGGUCCAGACGCCUACGGGAGGCAGCAGUAGGGAAUAUUGCGCAAUGGGCGCAAGCCUGAUGCAGCCAUGCCGCGUGUGUGAAGAAGGCCUUCGGGUUGUAAAGUACUUUCAGCGGGGAGGCGUUACCCGCAGAAGAAGCACCGGCUAACUCCGUGCCAGCAGCCGCGGUAAUAC